This 286-nucleotide ribosomal RNA is filed under the name uncultured bacterium. RNAcentral describes it as "partial 16S ribosomal RNA". It matches the Rfam family "Bacterial small subunit ribosomal RNA", at positions 30 to 313 of the family's 1533-position model. The record is from RNAcentral.
AUUGAACGCUGGCGGCAGGCCUAACACAUGCAAGUCGGGCGGUAACAGGGAUAGCUUGCUAUCUGCUGACGAGCGGCGGACGGGUGAGUAAUGCAUAGGAAUCUGCCUGGUAGUGGGGGAUAGCCCAGAGAAAUUUGGAUUAAUACCGCAUACGCCCUACGGGGGAAAGCUGGGGACCUUCGGGCCUAGCGCUAUCAGAUGAGCCUAUGUCGGAUUAGCUUGUUGGUGAGGUAACGGCUCACCAAGGCGACGAUCCGUAGCUGGUCUGAGAGGAGAUCAGCCACAC